Molecule: long non-coding RNA, 1216 nt
Organism: Polistes canadensis
Lineage: Eukaryota; Metazoa; Arthropoda; Insecta; Hymenoptera; Vespidae
Exons: 2
Source: RefSeq, a predicted model, not a curated record
AAAAAAAGUGCACAGUGUGUGGUUGAAGAAGCGGCAUGCAUGCUGGCUCUUAGAUUAAUGAUUUGAAGGCAAGAUUUCAUUGAAAGAAACACAACUGCGCGUAUUCACGGGAAAGAAGACGGUGUACGAGUGACGGAGGUGCGAGCAAGAAAGCAAGAUUUGAUAGAAAGAGACGAGGAGUACUUUGAAAAACUAAGAGAAGGGGAAACAAGAGCGAGAAAGCGAGUGAAGAAAAGGCAGACAGAGAGAGAAAAACGAACGAGAAUUGUCGAACGUUAGUACGCAGAGGAGACAAAGGCCACGGUGGCGGCGGCAUCGACGACGACGACGAAGACGACGACGACGGUGAUGGUUAUGGUGGUGGUGGUGGUGGCGGCAGCAUAACCUCCAAGUACCGACGAACCUGAGCUUCGUGUCGCGCGCGCGUCACGAAAAAUAUUCCCCCCUCUCCUCCUGAUCCUCCUUCUUCUCCUCCUUCUCUCUUUCUCCUCCUCCUCCUCUUCAUCCUCCUUCUCCACCUCCUCACCUCCUUCUUUCCGUUCGUUGCGUUUUUCGACGACGGCGAGUAACGUUGUUCGUCCGUAAAGUAAAACCGUGAAUAAUAACGUUUGCAUCUCUCAAAGGUAUACGACGUACAUAUAUAUAUAUAUAAAAAUAUAUAAAAGAAUAUAAUACCUUUUUGCCUACAUUGUAUCCCCCAACAGUUUUUGGGCUUCCAUAAAGGCAAACGCGUGCGAGCGAGAAAGAGUUAAGGAUAACACGUGUACGAAACGCGGUCUCGUUCUUAUUAUUCGAUCGAUAAUUAAUAACAACAACAAUUUGAAUAAAUUUAAAAAAAAAGGAUAGUACUAGCGCGUAUAAAAAUCCGCGUGCCGGUUAUAAUAUUACAAUUAGUGCUUGGCGAAACAGUUAAUGGAUGAAACUGGCAGGAUGUUGCAACACGGAGGAUCGGGUGUCGGUUUGAUGGGAGCUAACCAAGCUCAAGGGGCCCAAAAUACCACAGGCUACGGCACCAUGGGACCCGUCGAUGGAUCCGCUGCUCAGGGUCCCGACCAAGCUGUCGAGGCUAGAAAACAGGAUAUCGGCGAGAUCUUACAACAGAUCAUGAACAUCACCGACCAAAGUCUCGACGAGGCUCAAGCAAGGAAACACACACUUAAUUGCCACAGAAUGAAACCUGCCCUGUUCUCGGUACUCUGCGAGAUCAAAGAAAAAA